RNAcentral lists this ribosomal RNA (458 nucleotides) under uncultured bacterium. RNAcentral describes it as "partial 16S ribosomal RNA". It matches the Rfam family "Bacterial small subunit ribosomal RNA", at positions 338 to 795 of the family's 1533-position model. The record is from RNAcentral.
CCUACGGGAGGCAGCAGUGGGGAAUAUUGCACAAUGGGGGAAACCCUGAUGCAGCGACGCCGCGUGAGUGAAGAAGUAAUUCGUUACGUAAAGCUCUAUCAGCAGGGAAGAAACACUGACCUUACGGUCAGCAGACGGUACCUGAGUAAGAAGCCCCGGCUAACUACGUGCCAGCAGCCGCGGUAAUACGUACGGGGCAAGCGUUAUCCGGAUUUACUGGGUGUAAAGGGAGCGUAGGCGGUGCGCCAAGUCUGGAGUGACAUGCCGCAGCUUAACUGCGGAACUGCUUUGGAAACUGGCGAACGAGAGUGCGGGAGGGGUAAGCGGAAUUCCUAGUGUAGCGGUGAAAUGCGUAGAUAUUAGGAGGAACACCGGUGGCGAAGGCGGCGUACUGGACCGUAACUGACGUUGAGGCUCGAACGCGUGGGGAGCAAACAGGAUUAGAUACCCGAGUAGUC